RNAcentral lists this ribosomal RNA (446 nucleotides) under uncultured bacterium. RNAcentral's name for it is "partial 16S ribosomal RNA". It matches the Rfam family "Bacterial small subunit ribosomal RNA", at positions 338 to 795 of the family's 1533-position model. The record is from RNAcentral.
CCUACGGGUGGCUGCAGUCGAGAAUCAUUCACAAUGGGGGAAACCCUGAUGGUGCGACGCCGCGUGGGGGAAUGAAGGUCUUCGGAUUGUAAACCCCUGUCAUGUGGGAGCAAAUUAAAAAGAUCGUACCACAAGAGGAAGAGACGGCUAACUCUGUGCCAGCAGCCGCGGUAAUACAGAGGUCUCAAGCGUUGUUCGGAAUCACUGGGCGUAAAGCGUGCGUAGGCUGUUUCGUAAGUCGUGUGUGAAAGGCGCGGGCUCAACCCGCGGACGGCACAUGAUACUGCGAGACUAGAGUAAGGGAGGGGGAACCGGAAUUCUCGGUGUAGCAGUGAAAUGCGUAGAUAUCGAGAGGAACACUCGUGGCGAAGGCGGGUUCCUGGACAUUAACUGACGCUGAGGCACGAAGGCCAGGGGAGCGAAAGGGAUUAGAUACCCGAGUAGUC